RNAcentral lists this ribosomal RNA (253 nucleotides) under uncultured bacterium. RNAcentral describes it as "partial 16S ribosomal RNA". It matches the Rfam family "Bacterial small subunit ribosomal RNA", at positions 524 to 776 of the family's 1533-position model. The record is from RNAcentral.
UACAGAGGUCCCAAGCGUUGUUCGGAAUUAUUGGGCGUAAAGGGUGCGUAGGCGGCAGGGUAAGUUAGAUGUGAAAUACCGGGGCUCAACUUCGGAAUUGCAUUUAAGACUGCCUUGCUUGAGUUCUAGAGAGGAGACUGGAAUUUACGGUGUAGCAGUGAAAUGCGUAGAUAUCGUAAGGAAGACCAGUGGCGAAAGCGAGUCUCUGGCUAGAAACUGACGCUGAGGCACGAAAGCUGGGGGAGCAAACGGG